Molecule: ribosomal RNA, 595 nt
Filed under: Isochrysis galbana
Lineage: Eukaryota; Haptophyta; Isochrysidales; Isochrysidaceae
Description: partial Bacterial large subunit ribosomal RNA
Rfam family: Bacterial large subunit ribosomal RNA
Source: RNAcentral
CCACCCUUGAAAGAAAGCGUAACAGCUCACUGGUCUAAUAGCCGUCCUGCGCCGAAGAUGUACCGGGGCUCAAGCCAUACACCGAAGCUGCGGGUGUGCCCUUCCUACGGGAAGGGUACGCAGUAGCGGAGCGUUCCGUAAGCCUGUGAAGGUAAACCGUAAGGUUUGCUGGAGGUAUCGGAAGUGAGAAUGCUGACAUGAGUAGCGAUAAAGAGUGUGAGAAACACUCUCGCCGAAAGUCCAAGGGUUCCUGCGUAAAGCUAAUCUGCGCAGGGUUAGUCGGCCCCUAAGGCGAGGGCGAAAGCCGUAGUCGAUGGGAAUCAGGUUAAUAUUCCUGAACCUGUGGGUGGUGACGAAUAGCGUAAGUUGUAUCUCCUUAUCGGAUUGGAGGUGCCGCGAAGCUGUUCCAGGAAAUAACCCCCACGUGAGACCGUACCCGAAACCGACACAGGUGGACAGGUAGAGUAUACCAAGGCGCUUGAGAGAACUAUGUUGAAGGAACUCGGCAAAAUGCCUGCGUAACUUCGGGAGAAGCAGGCCCCGUUCUUGGGCAACCAGGGGCGGGGGGCACAGACCAGGGGGUGGCGACUGUUUA